Brassica rapa (field mustard) is the source of this 3512-nucleotide RNA transcript. It is a transcript of the gene named serine/threonine-protein kinase Nek3-like, with no coding region annotated. NCBI's taxonomy places the organism in Eukaryota, Viridiplantae, Streptophyta, Magnoliopsida, Brassicales, Brassicaceae. The record is from RefSeq and is a predicted model, not a curated record.
UGCGUUCCUGCUUUCUCCGGUCGAGGUCUGGUUAAAAGCAUGCUCAGGAAGAAUCCAGAACUCAGACCAAGCGCUUCUGAUCUUCUCAGACAUCCUCUGCUUCAGCCUUACAUUCAAAAGGUUCUUCUCAAGCUGAGCUACUGGGGGGGACGAUACAUUGCAACCAGAAUCUUAAUCCGCAAGGAGAAGCAGCUAUCCUCCUGAGCAAAGAAGGCGUUCUUCUGGCAAAUGUAUAAGCUUUGGUCCAAGAAGAGAAGGAAGAUUCUUUGUCUUCUGUUAAACCACUUCCUCUGGCAAGUUUAUAGUUGACCAGGAAAAUUCUUUGUCUUCUGUUAAACCAGUGCACACGUAUUUGCACCACCGCAUGCCAGUGGAUUUGUCUGCUAACAUCACUGGUAGAGUAACUGUUCGAAGACCAGCUGUUUCGAAAAAUUCAGGGGCUUCUUACAGAUCAGCCAGCCUAAGAGUGGUGGUCUGAAACAAGCUACAACCAUUCGUAGAGCAUCCUUGCCUGUCUCACACAAACCUUCAAAAGGAACAAGAGACUCUCUCUACACCCCAAACAUCGGUAUACUCCAUCACCUAAACUCACCAGACGUAUCCGUAAACUCUCCAAUAAUCGACACUAUCAAGUUCGCACUAGCUUCAUACGAAGAAAUGCCUUUCACUCCCGUUGUGCGCAAGAAGAAGAACAAAGGCUCCUCCAGAGGAUCCUACAGCCCACCUCCUCCAGAGGAGCUGCAGCAACCGCUAGACUGCUCAAUCACAAAAGACAAGUUCACCCUUGAGCCAGAACGAGAAACCAAGAGUGGCGGUGAUUUUUUCUGAUCAGAACGCGACUGCUGGAGGAGCGUCGGGCAGAGCUUUCCAGGUGCAUCUGGUGACAGAGGUUUGACCCGCGGACAACGCGCUGAGGCGCUGAGGGAUUGCUUGAGUUCAUAGCGAGGUUGCUUCUAGAUGAGAGGUAUGAUGAGCUGAAUGUGUUGCUGAAGCCGUUUGGUCCGGGAAAGUGUCGCCUAGAGAAACAGCGAUAUGGUUGUCUAAGAGCUACUAGGUCACCACGAAACCCACUUACGCUACCGUCUAAUUCAUUUCUGGGAAGCUCCUGAGUUAUUUGUACAAUCAAAGAAUCAGUGUGGUGCGAUGCAUUUUUGGGAGGCCAAAAACAUUGCAAAAAUUGGCUUAGAGCUGCUAUGAUCAAGAUGGAGGUCGCUUCACAGGGUUCUCACGACGAAGUUAUUGCAUCCUAAUGAUUACGUUGUACCUAGGAGAUCGAUGUUGAGUUGGAGGCUAAAUAGAAGAAAUAUCUUCCCAGACAAAGACAUAAUUAAGAGUCAUGAAAUGAUGAAACUAAAGACUCAGCUUGCUUCACGAGAAAAUUUUAUGUCAAAUCUGCAAAAGCUCCUGCUAGAAUCGAAAAGAUAAAUUUGCUCCUUUGCACAUGUAAUAAUUUCAAUUAGCUUGGCAAGUCUGAUGUUUGGGUAAGAUUGUGUAUUCUUUAGUCUUUUUUUUUCUUUUUGAAUUCUUAGAUAUCAUUGAUUACUGUUUUGGUUUUUAGGAGAAAGUUGUGGCUUCUGGAUCAACUAUUCAAGAAGCAUGUCUAUGGAGUGUAUGUUUUUGGCCAUAAUUACUGCUAAAUAUUUACAAGUUUAAACCCCGAGCUGUUAUAUUGUUUGAGUAGGCAUAACUCCUUACCGACUAGAAAAUUACGGUAGCUAUAUAUUUACACUUUUGUGCAUAUUGCUAAUGAUUGAUGACACAGGCGUGCUGGUGGUGAAAAGGUGUACAACGUGUUUCAUAACCAAUUUCUGGUGGCUCUGAAGAGAUUUCAAGUUGACAAGCAGGUAGCAAUAUCUAUUCGAGGCCUGCUUAAAAUUUUUUGAGACUCUAACUUGCAUCUCUAAUAUAAAAAAGAAUAAGCAAAGCAACCUACCAAAAAAAUAAGCAAUAAUCGUCUCUCCUUUUUUUUCUGUUUGAUUUUAGUAUUACGAGGUUUAUGUGAUCUUGCAGGAACUGGUUCACAAGUCUGCUAAUGAGACAGUUGUACGUUCUCUUCUUCUGUUUAUAAUAUAUAAAAUAUCUCAAACAACUUAUUUUCUUUGGUCAAAUGUUUUUUUUUUUUUUUUUUUUUUUUUUAAAUAUAAAUAUUUAUUAAUCUACCCGAGAAUCGGGAAUUUCAGAUCCAGUUACAAACCCGUUUCGAACAAAAUUUCCAAAAUCAACCUAUUACAACACUAGCUUCGCCCGCCCACUAAACCCGGCACAUUCCGCUAGUCCGUUUAUCGGUUUCCUUUGAAAUCGGUUGCCGUUCUCUACCAUCGACGAGAAUCAAGAGAAGGUGAGGUUCUCCUUGUUGCCUCGGAUGCCGGGACUUCCCGCGUCGUCUCCGGAGUAGCUAGCUUCCGAUGAACUCCACCGAGUUUGUAACCGUUACUGACAAUGAAGCGCAAGACGACUAAUAGGGGAGUGUUUCGGAUACUUACCACGAGCCUUGCAAGCCACCAAAGCCGAGCUAGUACGCAACGUCACACAACGCUUGAAACCAUCUCCCAACCCGAGCAAGAGCUCGCUACUGCCGCCACCAAACCUGUACUACCAAAAGGGCCGGACCUCCAUGCCACACACCGACAGAGAAGACUCUAACGACUAGCACAAAUGUCAGCCAAGCAACACUACCGAUGAAGAAUCAAGUGAUCUUCUCCGGUACUGGGAUGUGAGCUAAACACAAGAGGGACACCGCCGCGACCAUGACGAAAGUCGGGACGUCUCUUGCCGCCUUCGAAAACCGAAGAAGCAGUGACCGUGACUCGCAAAAUAACCACCGGUGUCUACGGUGAUAUGAAUAGAGCUCAAGAGAACAACCUUAGAAUUAGAAACUGCCGCAACCAAACCAAGGUAUCAAGCCGAUGACGAGAUGUUGAAAUUGAAAGGUCAGGUGAAAUACAAAAAAGAGCUUGAACCGGCCAUAGACGACCGGGUAGGACUCUGCUCAGCACUCCCACACGAGUCGGAAUCGGUCAGGUACCAUCAUCCCGCCUGCAUACCAGACCGCGCCUCACCUCCGAAGUGAAGCCACCACCGGAGCUGACCUUGGCUCCAACGAAGAGGAGACGAACCCCGACGACACCGUAAGGGUUCCCGGUUCCAAACGAAGAAGCCGCACGCCACAACCAGAGAAACGCUGUAGCCACGCCACAGCCAACCGGGGAGCGCUCCAACCCCAUCAUCCCGAGCAAGAAGGUCGCCAGAGAGAGAUUAAAAGGGGAAACGCAAUCCUCUCUCUCAGCCACGAAAAAUCCGACUCCACAGCCAAAUCCACUGCACACCACCGCGUCUUGACUCCAACACAAGCUGAAUCGAUAGCAAACUCCGACGAACCUCGCGAGCGGUCACCGGAAUCAACAAGAGACGCUUGACCAGAGCCCGAAACAAAGCAACAGCGGAGGGGAGUGACCGGGAAGCAAAGAGGAAAACAGAGCAAGAAGGAGGGAAGCCUCCGGCGGCCGGACGCG